Molecule: small nuclear RNA, 108 nt
Organism: Brienomyrus brachyistius
Lineage: Eukaryota; Metazoa; Chordata; Actinopteri; Osteoglossiformes; Mormyridae
Source: RefSeq, a predicted model, not a curated record
GUGCUUGCUAUGGCAACACAUAUACUAAAAUUGGAACGAUACAGAGAAGAUUAGCAUGGCCCCUGCGCAAAGGGGCCAUGCUAAUCUUCUCUGUAUCGUUCCAAUUUU